UCUUAGCCGUCCAUCAUAAAACUCACCUACUGAUGAUAAAACUCACCUACGGAUGUAAAGCUCUUUUGUCUUGAAUUGGGGGUAUCUCAAUUUUUUUUUCAAAUGGGGGUAUCUCAAAUUUCGACUUUCAAAUGGGGGGGUAUGUCCAAAAAUCUCUAAAAAAAAUACUGUUCCAUGGUUAUUACCUUCUUGAAUUUCAAGUGUAAUGAGAGAAAAUCAUCCAUGCUAACAACCUGUGUGGAUUUGCAGAGCUGCUAAGAGGUGGAUCAAAAGCCUAGGGUCUAGGGAGUUUAUUUCUCUGUGGUUCCUUGCCUAUGCUCUUGAGGCACUUUGCUUUGAAACAGGUGGAUCAAAAGCCUGCAAAUGACAAACAUCCUAUGAAAUAAAUAUUAGUUUUAAGAGAGAAAAUUUACAGAUAUAAACAGCAGAGAACAAACUAAGCAAAAUUGCAGUCAUGGAUGCUACCAGUAUGAAUUCGACCAUGUAGAAGUAAUCCUCCGGAUGCUAGAAACAUGACAAAUGAAUUCUAAGCUCAGGUGACAUACAUGAGAUACAAGCAUAACUGCACUGAAGAAUAUUCCCAUUUCAAAGUUCCUUGUGGUAAAAUUUCCUUGACAUAUUGGCUAAACAUUCAAGCUGUGCUCCUAAUUAAAAAAUCAUUGUUGAUCUUAUAAAAAAAAAGCUAGAGAGAGAAGAAAACAGAAGUAUAUACUUAAUUUGUCCCCAUUUUUAUACAUCUAAUUGGUUUAGACGUUUAGGUAAGGCUGGGGGCACCUUUGUAUCAUAGAAUCUGUAAGCCUUGGGCCAUAGUCACAGGUCACAACAUCUUAUCUUGGCGUUAUGUACUUCCCCAUCUUAUAUAUAUGGACUGGUAACUGGUUUAAUGAACAGGUAUGAGAAAAGAUUAGUUUUAAGGAUCCUGAUU
Molecule: long non-coding RNA, 925 nt
Filed under: Aquilegia coerulea
Lineage: Eukaryota; Viridiplantae; Streptophyta; Magnoliopsida; Ranunculales; Ranunculaceae
Description: long non-coding RNA (ACOE_LNC001284)
Source: RNAcentral